This 53-nucleotide transfer RNA is filed under the name Paratemnoides elongatus. Its description in RNAcentral is "tRNA-Pro". The record is from RNAcentral. Lineage: Eukaryota; Metazoa; Arthropoda; Arachnida; Pseudoscorpiones; Atemnidae.
CAGAAUAAAGUUUGAUUAAACAUUAACUUUGGAGGUUAAAAUAAAAUUUCUGA